CCUAGGGAUGCUCCCUCCAUGUACAUGACAUGCGGGUUGCAAAUACUUUUGUCUCGGUGUGGAAAAGCAGGCUGGAGAAAGCGUGUGAUCCCACGUGGCCAAGAAUCUAGUCUUUCUGGGACUGAGAAUAUUCCUUUCACCUGUGUGAGAAGUUUUCAUCUGAGACAAAUGAAAAAUAUUCUAUCCCCUUCUCACUCCCCAUUUUACCAACUCUGUCAAGAACAAGAGGAAUGAGACUUGGAGAGAAACUGUCCCAAAAAGGGACCAGUACUGAAGGUGUGACUUUAGCUGAGGUCACCACAAACAGCAACAGCUGUCCAGCCUUAGGCUGAGCAAAUUCCACCUCAGAGAAACUACACAAGGAAAUGCAUCUACCAAAUGAUAAAAGCAAACAGCCCAUUGUAAGAAAAAAGGCUGCAGUGCUUUAUUUUAGAGGUGAACUCCUGCUACACCCUGGAGUCCAGAAGCUGAGGAGAACACGUGGGACUUGAUACAAUCUGAUUUUUACUGUUGCAUUUCAGGAAAUCCUUACAGCUUAAAACAAGCACCUCACAUACACAGUAGUGAAAAAGCCAGUAUAUAUUGCCCUGCCCAGCACUAUUCAUCUGCACAACAACCAUCAUGCAUUAAAAAAACCACAAACAAACAAACAAGGUUUAUUCAUGGAAUACUUCUGCAUGUUUUACUGGCAGGAGACAAGGAUUGCUGGGCACCAUUAGUGCCAUUAGAAAUUCAGCUCAUCACCUCACUAUUAUUCAGUGUCAUGGUAACAAUUUAGCACAGCCACACAGCACUUGCAGACCUUGCAUGUCCUGGAGUUUCCCCAACCCCUUUCUAAUACAAACAUACUCAAAUCCAGGCCUCCCACCUUUCCUUCAACUAAACAUACUCUAAAAAAAAAAAAAUAAUAAUAAAAACAAGUGUUGGCCACACACGACCAUUUUAGGAAAAAAAAUUUCCCUUUAUUCUCCAACACAAGGCAUAUCUUUGAAAAAGUAAAUGCUGUGAUAUUUUAUAACUACAGGAUAUAAAGGAUAUCAUGUAUCACCUCCAUAAUAUUUAACUUGUAUUCGAAGACACAAUGCUGUCAACAAAUAUUUAUGAUUUAAAAGAAAAUAAAAAAUCCACUAUAUUUUCAAAUGCCUGAAUGCUCAGAGACAAAUGUCUGUAGAAGUCCCUGGAAGCAGAAAAAAGCAAACCCCUACAAAUCAGUAAUCCUUUCAGAUUGUUGUGAUUUUAUUUUGAAUGCAUGCUCAUCUGAGAAAUUCAGGUUUCUGUUUACGAAGCUGCUUAUUAAACAAUGAUCAUUUUACACUGAACUACAGAUUGUGGGGGUUUUAUAUUAAGAAAAAGC
Molecule: long non-coding RNA, 1354 nt
Organism: Neopelma chrysocephalum (saffron-crested tyrant-manakin)
Lineage: Eukaryota; Metazoa; Chordata; Aves; Passeriformes; Pipridae
Exons: 4
Source: RefSeq, a predicted model, not a curated record